Molecule: ribosomal RNA, 433 nt
Filed under: uncultured bacterium
Lineage: Bacteria
Description: partial 16S ribosomal RNA
Rfam family: Bacterial small subunit ribosomal RNA
Source: RNAcentral
AACGAACGCUGGCGGCAUGCCUAACACAUGCAAGUCGAACGAGACCUUCGGGUCUAGUGGCGCACGGGUGCGUAACGCGUGGGAACCUGCCCUUAGGUUCGGAAUAACUCCCCGAAAGGGGUGCUAAUACCGGAUAAUGUCUUCGGACCAAAGAUUUAUCGCCUUUGGAUGGGCCCGCGUUGGAUUAGCUAGUUGGUAGGGUAAAAGCCUACCAAGGCGACGAUCCAUAGCUGGUUUGAGAGGAUGAUCAGCCACACUGGGACUGAGACACGGCCCAGACUCCUACGGGAGGCAGCAGUGGGGAAUAUUGGACAAUGGGCGAAAGCCUGAUGCAGCAAUGCCGCGUGAGUGAUGAAGGCCUUAGGGUUGUAAAGCUCUUUUACCCGGGAUGAUAAUGACAGUACCGGGAGAAUAAGCUCCGGCUAACUCCGUG